RNAcentral lists this ribosomal RNA (306 nucleotides) under uncultured bacterium. Its description in RNAcentral is "partial 16S ribosomal RNA". It matches the Rfam family "Bacterial small subunit ribosomal RNA", at positions 507 to 807 of the family's 1533-position model. The record is from RNAcentral.
GACAGCAGCAGCCGCGGGAAUACGGAGGGUGCAAGCGUUACUCGGAAUCACUGGGCGUAAAGGACGCGUAGGCGGAUUAUCAAGUCUCUUGUGAAAUCUAACGGCUUAACCGUUAAACUGCUUGGGAAACUGAUAAUCUAGAGUAAGGGAGAGGCAGAUGGAAUUCUUGGUGUAGGGGUAAAAUCCGUAGAGAUCAAGAAGAAUACCCAUUGCGAAAGCGAUCUGCUGGAACUUAACUGACGCUAAUGCGUGAAAGCGUGGGGAGCAAACAGGAUUAGAUACCCGCGUAGUCCCUGUCUCUUAUAC